RNAcentral lists this ribosomal RNA (253 nucleotides) under uncultured bacterium. RNAcentral's name for it is "partial 16S ribosomal RNA". It matches the Rfam family "Bacterial small subunit ribosomal RNA", at positions 524 to 776 of the family's 1533-position model. The record is from RNAcentral.
UACGAAGGGGGCUAGCGUUGCUCGGAAUUACUGGGCGUAAAGCACACGUAGGCGGGUUCUUAAGUCGGUGGUGAAAUCCUGGAGCUCAACUCCAGAACUGCCUUCGAAACUGGGAAUCUUGAGUUCGGGAGAGGUGAGUGGAACUGCGAGUGUAGAGGUGAAAUUCGUAGAUAUUCGCAAGAACACCAGUGGCGAAGGCGGCUCACUGGCCCGAUACUGACGCUGAGGCACGAAAGCGUGGGGAGCAAACAGG